RNA transcript from Penaeus monodon (black tiger shrimp), 3409 nucleotides. It is a transcript of the gene named 26S proteasome non-ATPase regulatory subunit 1-like, with no coding region annotated. The transcript is spliced from 9 exons. The record is from RefSeq and is a predicted model, not a curated record. Lineage: Eukaryota; Metazoa; Arthropoda; Malacostraca; Decapoda; Penaeidae.
GUUUGGCUGACUCUCUCGGCGUCGAAUUUUGUGAAGUCAUUUCGAGGCGAAAAUGGGAUUCAUCACCUCUGCCGCGGGCAUCCUAGCCCUCUUGGAUGAGAAUGAAGAUCAGUUACGAGUGUUUGCAUUGGAGAGACUCAAUGAGAUAACAGAUACUUUCUGGCCAGAAAUUGCAGACUCUAUCCAGAAAAUAAAAACUUGGGAAGAAAAUGGCGAAUUUCCAAACGAGAGUUGGGCUCUUGUGUACCAAAGUUUUUUUUUUCAUUUAGGAUCUUUUUUAGACUCCCUCACAUAUGCAUUGAAAUCAGGUCCAAUGCUGCAUCAGGGGUAGGAACCAGCUCUACAUGAAAACAAUCCCCAAAAGGGGAGUUUUUUCAUGCCAUUUGACCUUACAUCAGCUGAGGGCAACAAAAAGUGCAAAGUGGAGCAGAUUAGAAGAGCUGCUCAACAACUGUCAAACGUUGCAUCACCUACCAGCAGGUACCGCCACGCCGAUUGGCAUGCGCUAUAAACUCACCGCAUGGAUUGUUCCGAGAGGCUUCAUGACUCUGAUGAUAUUGUUGGAAGUCUAACAUCUCCUACAAGAUUGCCAUGCAGUACAUUGAGCAGCGUAAUCCGUGAUGAGUUCUAGAGGAGCUUGUCUCUCCUGUAACCAGCCGGCUUAAAACCUCUGAUUACGAAAAUGUGUCAGUGCUUGGAUUCACCUGGACAAGCCCCAUGAGUUGCUUCACAUUCUGACCAAAACUGAUCAAAACGACAGUCUAAAGAGUGAGGCAAUGGAUAAUGAUUUAAUGCCUCAGAUGGGCUUUACUGUAUGAAAACGCACACCAAGAUCGCCUUUCCCAUGUUCCGCCAGGCCUGUUCGAACCACUCUCCUGUGCCCUCACCUUCAUGAGGAUGUUUGAUGCUGUACCUAGUACCUCACAACCUCAGCAAGCACCAGCAGAGGUUCUACCUCAGUACUAAUGAUGAUGAGGAAAUGGCUAACCCCACAAACAGGAAGAAGAGAAUGCCGCUACGCCAUGAGUGAAGAGAUACAUUGGAUGAUUUGACUGAAUUGGAGAAGACUCACCACCAGACCGUGUUGCAAAUCUAGCAAGAAUUCUUAGUGGGGAGAUGACCAUUGAGCAACACCUUCAGUUUCUAUUGCCAAUAACCACACUGAUAUUCUGAUAUUACGACAUAACAAAAGCCUUGUGAGAGCUUCUGUAAUCUCCCACUGCAACUGUUAUUGCAAAUGCAUUUAAGCCUUGUGGAAAAACUUCUGAACCGCAAUUUUUUUAAGAUAACUUGGAGUGGCUUUCACGUGCAACAAAUUGGGCCAAGAUGACUGCCACAGCAUCUCUUGGUGUUAUUCACCGCGGGCAUGAAAAGGAGGCUCUUACCCUAAUGCAGGCAUACCUGCCCAAAGAGUCUAACAGCCCUGGCUAUGCUGAGAGUGGGUCCCUGUAUGCACUCGGACUUAUUCAUGCAAAUCAUGGUGCCAAUAUCAUUGAAUACUUGCUUAAUCAGACUAAGGAUGCUACGAGUGACAUUGUCCGGCAUGGUGGCUGUCUUGGACUUGGUCUCGCUGCCAUGGGAACGCAGCGCACAGAUGUUUAUGAACAGCUUAAGUAUUCUCUUUUCCAAGAUGAUGCUGUCACUGGAGAAGCUGCAGGUCUAGCCAUGGGCCUGGUAAUGUUAGGAUCGGCAAAUGAACAAGCUGUGUCAGAUAUGGUGAAUUAUGCGAGGGAUACACAACACGAAAAAAUUCUUCGGGGAUUAGCUCAGGGAAUUGCAUUAACCAUGUAUGGGCAACAGGAUCAGGCAGACCGACUCAUCACUGAACUUAGUGAAGAUAAGGAUGCUAUUUUGAGACGUGCAGCAAUGUACACUGUUGCAAUGGCAUACUGUGGCACUGCCUCAACACCUGCUAUGAAAAGGCUUCUUCAUGUAGCAGUCUCUGAUGUUGAUAACGAUGUCAGACGAGCAGCUGUAGAAGCUUUAGGUUUCUUGCUGUUCAGAUCACCAGAUCAGAUCCCUAGCAUGGUCUCCCUUUUGUCAGAAUCCUAUAACCCACAUGUGCGGUAUGGUGCUGCUAUGGCUCUUGGAGUUGCUUGUUCUGGCACUGGACAAAAGGAAUCGCUAGGAUUGUUGGAGCCACUUACAAAUGACCCAGUUAACUUUGUUCGCCAAGGAGCCCUUAUUGCAUCAGCUUUAGUUUUGAUACAGCAGACAGAAAGCACGUGUCCCAAAGUAAAAGAUUUCCGCCAGUUGUAUGCAAAGGUGAUUGGAGACAAGCAUGAAGACUCAAUCGCAAAGUUCGGAGCUAUUCUUGCCCAAGGCAUUAUUGAUGCAGGUGGCCGUAACAUGACCAUCUCUCUCCAAUCUCGCACUGGACACACAAGCAUGACAUCUGUUGUUGGCAUGUUUGUCUUCACACAGUUUUGGUAUUGGUUCCCAUUGGCCCAUUUCUUGUCAAUGGCCUUUACACCUACUUGUCUUAUUGGGCUGAACUCUGAACUGAAAAUGCCAAAAAUGCAGUUCCUCUCCAAUGCAAAGCCAUCCACCUAUGGAUACCCAGCACCUCUUGAAGAAAAGAAGAAAGAGGUUGCAGAAAAAGUAACUGCAGUUCUGUCCAUCACAGCAAAGGCUAAGAAAAAGGAUGAUGAAAGAAAGAAAAAGGAACAAAAGGAUGAGAAAAUGGAGGUCGAUGAGGAGAAGGAAAAGAAAGAAAAGGAAGAAAAAGAGAAAGAAGAAAAGGAGAAGGAGAAAAAGAAGGAAGAAGAGAAAAAGAAAGAAGAGCCCACCUUUGAUUUACUAAGCAACCCUGCCAGAGUAAUGAAAGCACAACUGAAGGUGAUGCGCAUGGCCGAAGGCUCCCGUUACACCCCAGUGAAAGAAUUGAACAUCGGUGGUAUCAUCCUGAUGAGAGACAUGAAACCAGAAGACAGUGAGGAGUUGGUGCAGCCUGUCCCAGCUCUGGGGCCAAAGACUGAAGAGGAAACCGAACCAGAUCCCCCAGAACCCUUCAGAUAUGUUGACGAGGAUUAAUUUCUUUAUGCUUGUUCUGUGAAGAAACGUGAAAUUAUUAAGGAAGCAUCCUUAGUGUUUUGAAGGAUUCUUGAGAAAAUAGGGAAUAUAGGUGACUGUUUAAUGUUCUUAUAUAUAGGUGUACCCAUGACUGAUUUUAAUUUAUUAUUUUUUUAUAAGGGGACAUUCAUAACUUUAUAUUCUUAGUUAUUAAGUAACGAUCAUCUGCUUUCAAAAGGCUUUUAAAGACUAAUUUUGAUGUUGACAUAAGCAUGAAAUCAGUCAUUUAUAAUAUAGUAUUGCACAGUCCCAGUUAUGCUACCUGUGAAGAUCUACAGAAUAAAAGUACAGUCUAAUGUAUGAUUGUUUCUUUGAAUAUUAAAGAAUAAUUGUUUUA